RNAcentral lists this ribosomal RNA (253 nucleotides) under uncultured bacterium. Its description in RNAcentral is "partial 16S ribosomal RNA". It matches the Rfam family "Bacterial small subunit ribosomal RNA", at positions 524 to 776 of the family's 1533-position model. The record is from RNAcentral.
UACGGAGGGUGCAAGCGUUAUCCGGACUUACUGGGUUUAAAGGGUGCGUAGGCGGGCAUGUAAGUCAGUGGUGAAAUACCGGAGCUUAACUUCGGAACUGCCAUUGAUACUAUAUGUCUUGAAUAUUGUGGAGGUAAGCGGAAUAUGUCAUGUAGCGGUGAAAUGCAUAGAUAUGACAUAGAACACCGAUUGCGGAGGCAGCUUGCUACACAAAUAUUGACGCUGAGGCACGAAAGCGUCGGGAUCAAACAGG